GUGCUGUCUACAAGGCAGUGGACUUCAACUGUUUUUUGUAAUGAUUUUUGAGCAUACAUAUACAUAUGCUAUUUUUCCACAUCACAUCAUAUACUGCUAGUAUACAGAGAAGAGAAGCUGAAAUUUAGUUGUUACAAUGAACAAGAAAAAAAAAUGCUCAUGGAUUACUCAAGAAGUCAAAAUCUACACUUCCAUCACACUUUAUUUUAAGGUGUAGGUCUCCCUAUUAACUAACCAUUAACUACGGAUUUUGCCUCAAUAAACUCCUAAUUUGCUGCUUAUUAAUAGUUAGUAAGGUAGUUGUUAAGUUCAGGUACUGGGAAGGAAUAAGAAUGUACAAUAUGGUCAUGCAGAAUAAGUCGUUAAUGUGUACCUAAUAAGUACUAAUAAACAGCCAAUAUGCUAGUAAUAUGCAUGCUACUAAGCAACUAGUUAACAGUGAGAACUGGACCUUAAAAUAAAGUGUUAUGGAACAUUUUAAUUGUUCAUCUCUGUAGAAGAGCAGAGUUGAAGCCCAACAAAAGCAUGCAGUUUUAUUUCUUUAAGUGAACCCUGGGUAUUAUGACAUGUAUGGCUUAAUAUAAAGUAAAUGAUGUCUCUUACUGAAAUAUGUAGUAGAAAACCCAUGAAAUAUUUACGUUAUAUUAAAAGGUCCACGUCAUUUUAUACAUAUUUUGGGCGCCAUUAUGACAUGAAAUAAUUUAGUUAGGUGAGCUACUGGUGCUACCUGUUGCUGUUCAGAAUUUCGAAUAUACAACUCUGAUAAUAAAAUAGUAGUAUUUGUAACCCUCAUUCCCUGAAGGAGGGACAGGAGACGUCACGUCGGUAAUAUGGCCAACUUUGGGAUCUUGAUUAGAGAGACAAUCCACUUGAGUGUAAACUACAUGAGCCAAUGCACAUUGGUAUGUGAUGAUUGCAUCCAGCUGCCGCUUGUCACAGCACGAGCAUAAGAGGCAGCAAGUGCAACGCAUACUCAUAGUUUUCCACUAUCCAGUGGGCCAUCCUCUGCUUGAAGACGGCAUUCCCUUUUUUGUUGGCCUCUGUAACAGAUAAAGAGCUGGUCUGAGGUCCUGAGGCUUUGUGUCUGAUUUACGUACAAUCUUAGGGCUCGGACGGGACAAAGCAAAGCUAGGGCUGGGUCUGCCUCCUCCGGGGGCAGCGCUUGUGGGCUCACCUCCUGACUCCUGAAGGGAGUAUUGAGAACCUUCGGCACAUAGCCGGGCCAGGCCUCAGAUUUACCUGGGAGUCAGCCAGCCUAAACUCUAGGCACGAUUCGACCAAAAAUGUGUGCAGGUCCCCUACCCUCUUGAUGGAGGCCAGUGCAAGCAGGAGCAGCGUUUUCAUUGAUAGAAACUUCAGCACGACUGACUGCAAAGGCUUGAAUGGGCCCUGCUGUAGUGCUCUGAGCACUGGAGACAAGUCAUAAGAGGGUGCAGAGGGGGGCUGGGGAGGAUUUAACCUUUUCGCCCCCCCUGAGGAACUCUAACCCUUGAGGCAAGAAAGACAGCAAGACUCUGAUCAGGCAUCUUCUGGGGUUCUCUCAGUGAGAGGAACACCACUCGAUGAAAAGGUUCUACUUCAAGGCGUAAGCAUGUCUCAUGGACUGGGCUCUUGCCGAAGUGAGGACGUCUACUACCCCUUGGGGCAGGUCACCUAGAACCUCCGCAUCCCAUCCAGUGACCAGGCAUGCAGUUUCCAGAGGUCUGGACAGAGGUGCCACAGGGUGCCCCCUCUCUGAGUCAGUAGAUCCUUCCACAGAGGAAUCCACCAGGGGCUGUCACAAGGAGCUUUAGUUCUGGGAACCAGGUCCGAGUGGGCCAGUAGGGUGCCACAAGCAGGACCUGUUACUCGUCUUCCCUGAUCUUGCACAGUGUUUGUGCGAGAAGGCUCACUGAAGGAAAUGAAUACUUGCGCAGGCCCUGCAGCCAGCUGUGUGCCAGGACAGCAAGGCAUACUGCUAGCAACUCUAGGCAGUUAAUGUGCCAGAGUAGCUGGAGGCCCGUCCAAACCCCCGACACUGCCUGCCCAUCAUACGUGGUCCCCUAACUUCAGAGUAGUGCAGGUCCUACAGUGCCUUGGCCUGAUAAACCUGCAGUAAUGCCACGGCGUGUAAGGUGGAGGCAGCUUCUCCGCAGACUGCAUAAGCACUGCCGAUCAGAGCCAACAAGUGCCUAUGGGCUUGGGAGAGGAGCAGUGACUUGCCCCGCCAUGUGGAAGCGGUACUGGGACACAUCUGCAUCGCUUCCGACACUCCACCGGAGGGACCUUCGUGUACCUGUCAAGGAUGGUGAGGGAGGAUGAACCACUGGAGCUGUUUCUGGCAGUAAAAGGUAUCGUCCACGUCUCAGUGAGCUCGUCAUGCACUUUCAGAAAUAAAGGGUGGAGCCCUGAGAACCAGGGUGAGCUGAGUAUACGUUGCACCUGGAUGCAAUCAACGCAUCCCAAUUUGCAUUUGCUUGUUUAGUUCCACUCAAAGUGGAUUGGUCUCUUUAAGCGAGAUCAUAUUAUUACGGUUAUGACGUCGAGAGUGAGUGACUAACAUUACCAUAUAAGUCUUAAUACCCAGGGUUCCUUUUAACCACCACAUAAUGAAACUGUAAGGAAAGGAAAAUUUGAUUUCUCAUAUCAUGACAUCACUUUAAUAUUUAUAUUUAACACUUCACUUGUAUUAGAGUCAUAAUUUCAUUGUUUCUCUUUCUCAGGAUGUGUGGUUUCACUCCCACCCUUAUGAUGGCCAUGGUCAGUUUAGAUUCUUGUUAAAUGUUGAGAACUCCACUGUAGACUGUGGGUAUUUGGCCUACGAGUCUGAUCCAAAAUUCAUUGAAUUUACCACCAUACAGGUGGCCCAUGGUCUACAGGUGAACAUUCAGAAAAAGGCAGAUCUGUUGAAUUUAAGUAUCAGUGAAGUGACAGUGACGGGUCUACAGGCAGAUCGGCAGUAUCAGUGUGUUUUGAAGAAGAUUGAGGUGUAUUCCAUUAUCUGUGAGAUAGCAGGACCCGUCCCAGUAGUGGACUCACUCACUAUCAAGAUUGGGAAUUAUGUUCUCGGGAUGAGUAGUAAAAUGCAUCAAUUCUGCCUCAGUCCACAGAAUACACCUGGCCAAGGUUAAAGGAAUAAUGGAAACACAAAUAAUACUCAGCAUCCUCCAGUGGGAAAAAAGAAAAUUCCUUUCUCACAUCUAGAUAGUUCUAUAGCUUUUAUACCUAUUUUUCAGCUUUAAUUAACACUAUAUGUUGUAUGUGCUCUAACUAUUUGAUGUGAUUCAGACACAAGCAAAUAUUUAUAUGCAAACUUCAUAAGAAAACAUGAUAUAAUGUUGAUUACAUCUACAGUAAGUCUGCAUAAGAGGUCAAUACGUCACUAUCUACUCAUUUAUUAUACACUGCAUAAACAGUUAAGGGCAGUUAUUUAGUACUGUAGUACAAUAGUCAAAGACAUUGGGUGUAAGAUUUUUUUUCAUUAUACAUCUACACAAUUGUAAUUUUCUGUUACUAAUCAGAUAACAGUUAUCAAUGUAGUCUCUUCCGUUAAACAGCAUAUUUACUAAUAAACAUAGCAAAUAUACUGUAUGAAAUCCGUUAUAGUCUUGUUUGUUUCUAAAUGAUCCCACACACAUAAACACACAACAUUCUUUCACACAAACAUUAUUAGUUCUCCAAGUCAUCAGAGCACACAACACACACUGUACUGCAUUAUUUAUCAGGUCUCUACAAUUUAAGAUGGCAAAUUUCAUCCAAGUCCUAUUAUUCCUAUUCAUAUUAUUACUACAGUUACACUAUAAACCCUUUCAAGCACAGAAUUUCAUUCAAACAUUUAAUUUCAAUGGCAUUAACAAUGGAUAGGUAUGAUAUGAAGUAGGGUUCAAGGGUCAUUUUGAUAUGAUUUUUUAUCAACAAAGGCAGAAUAAUUACAACCACUUCGCCAUCUCAUAUUGUAUUUCCCACAUAUGCACUGUGGCUAGACAUAACCACCACAUUUGUAGAAACUGCUUAGUAUUUUAUACUAGUGCAAUUACAGUGAUAUUUCAUUCUGCUACAUGCUACAGAAAAAGUGCUGUAUGUGGAAGUUUAUAAUUGCAAAAGGUUUUUUUAUGUUGAAGGAAGGAAAUGAAGUUCUGUCUAAAUGCUGUAUCCACAGUGCAUUUGUGCACGUCCUAACUAUGAAUAACUACAUGUUUUAGUCUCAUUUCCUCAUUGGCAUGAAUUGGGAAUACUGUAUCAGUCAAAUUUACCCCUAAAAUGGAGGCUAGAGCUCAAAGACCGUCUUAGCUGUGCAUUAAAGGGAUAGAUCAUCCCAAAAUGAAAAUUCUCUCAUCAUUUACUCACCCUCAAGUUGUUCCAAACGUGUAUGAAUUUCUUUCGUAUGUUGUAAACAUAAUUUGAAGAAUAUGGGUAGCCAAAUAGUUGAUUUACCUCCGAAAAAAUAAAUUAAUGCAGGUUUGGAACAACUGGAGAGUGAGUAAAUAAAUUUUUUUUAUUAACUUUUAAAUGUUAAACUUUCAUUUUUGACUGAACUCUUUAAGUGGCUCUGAAAUUGCUUGUACUUUGUCUACAUUUUUUAUGUGGCAUUGUCAUGUAUAUUUCAUGUACAUUUUUUGCAUUAAUAUAUAAUAUAUUGAAAUAUAUUUAUAUCUAAAUAUCUAUGAUAUAAUAUACAUGUAAAUGUAUUCAAAACAGUUAAA
Molecule: long non-coding RNA, 4682 nt
Organism: Labeo rohita (rohu)
Lineage: Eukaryota; Metazoa; Chordata; Actinopteri; Cypriniformes; Cyprinidae
Exons: 3
Source: RefSeq, a predicted model, not a curated record